GCUGGGUGCGGUGGCGCGUGCCUGCAGUCCCAGCUACUCGGGAGGCUGAGGCUGGAGGACCGCUUGAGCCCAGGAGUUCGGGGCUGUAGUGCGCUAUGCCAAUCAGGUGACCGCACUAAGUUCGGCAUCAAUAUGGUGACCUCCCGGGAGCAGGAAACCACCAGGUUGCCUAAGGAGGGAUGAACCGGCCCAGGUUGGAAAUGGAGCAGGUCAAAACUCCUGUGCUGAUCAGUAGUGGGAUCGCGCCUGUGAAUAGCCACUGCACUCCAGCCUGGGCAACAUAGUGAGACCCCGUCUCU
Molecule: signal recognition particle RNA, 299 nt
Filed under: Saimiri boliviensis boliviensis (Bolivian squirrel monkey)
Lineage: Eukaryota; Metazoa; Chordata; Mammalia; Primates; Cebidae
Description: Metazoan signal recognition particle RNA (ENSSBOG00000004236.1)
Rfam family: Metazoan signal recognition particle RNA
About the family: The signal recognition particle (SRP) is a universally conserved ribonucleoprotein. It is involved in the co-translational targeting of proteins to membranes.
Source: RNAcentral